AAUAAUUUAAGGGAAUUACGAGGUUUUCUUGGCUUAACAGGCUACUACAGGAAGGACAUAACGGUAUGGUUUCAAAACAUAUGUC
Non-coding RNA from Drosophila virilis, 85 nucleotides. NCBI's taxonomy places the organism in Eukaryota, Metazoa, Arthropoda, Insecta, Diptera, Drosophilidae. The record is from RefSeq and is a predicted model, not a curated record.